AUGAUAUUGUCAAGGGUCUCCCACAGAGAAGGAAAGACCUCAUUUGCACAAACAAAAUGGGGUAAUCUACUUAAUAUUAGCAAAUUCUCAGCUCCAGAGGGUCUCCUAGAAUGGAUCGUUGACCGGAUUGACCCGAAGCUAGGUGAAUUUCGGAAUCCACGAAACAAUAACAGCAUUCUAUUCACUCGACAAAUGGUUGAAAAGGCUCUCGGGCUUCCGUCUGGUACUAGGCCGGUGGUUAUCAUAAGCAAGCAUGAAGAAUCACCUCACCGAGAAUUCUACAAAACGGACUAUGAGCAUGGGAGACGGGCGCCCAUUCACCAUGCUGCAACCAUGCUAGAAAACGGCAAUGAUCUAGAUGAUGAGACCUUCUUCAGGACAUUCUUUCUAGUAGCAUUGGCUACUCAUUUUACACCCGGAACUGGAAAUAUGAUUCCUUUGGAAUAUUUAGGCAGCCUUGAAGUUGCUUCCGAGGUUUGCGAGUAUGCAUGGGGAGAGCAAAUUCUCAAAGAUGUCAUGACUGAGGUCGAUACAUUCCAAAAGAAGAAGAAGAAAGCACUACUAGAUGGUGUCUUCAAAAAAAUCUGGGUCGGCAGCUGCCUAUCCGUGCUCGCGAUUAUAUACAUGGACCAUCUUGACUUUCCUGAAUCAUCUUUGUCGACGCAUCGCAUAAAUUACUCACUUCCCAGAUCAUCCCAUGUAACCGAUGCCGACUUCGAAUUUGUCAUGCUCGCUGAUAAAAGUAGACUGAGCCUCAACCCAUAUAUUUAUGGCGCACGACCGUUUCGUGCACCCGAGGCAACCCCAUAUGCCGUUGUAGCGCCAAUCUACCAACAGCAAUCUACUCAACAGCCAAAUGUUCAACAAACAGAUAAUGAUUCUACCAACCAUCCAGCAGAGGACAUGCAUCACCAGGUCCCUACAUUACCUACCAAUCAAUCUGAGGAACUACCAGCGUUCAUACUUCCAAUUUUGCGAACGCAUAAUGCAAAAUGGGCACUUGAUAUUUCAAAAGCCACAUCACGACUCAACAAACUGCACGCAAAGCGCAUGAACGAGUUUGCACAAGAUGUCAUUGCUGCCUCAAGAAUUCAUACUCCAACAACACCUACUUAUUCCUCGCCUGAUAGGGUAGGCCAAGACUCAUAUACUGAAAAUGCUCAAGAACAUGGGACCAAAGCUACACCCAACACCAAGUUUUGGCAGGAAGCAGCUGCAUAUGCCGAAGAGGUUGAGAAAAGUGUUUGA
This 1248-nucleotide ribosomal RNA is filed under the name Triticum aestivum (bread wheat). Its description in RNAcentral is "partial small subunit ribosomal RNA". Lineage: Eukaryota; Viridiplantae; Streptophyta; Magnoliopsida; Poales; Poaceae. The record is from RNAcentral.